RNAcentral lists this transfer RNA (76 nucleotides) under Achromatium sp. WMS2. Its description in RNAcentral is "tRNA-Thr". It matches the Rfam family "tRNA". From Rfam's summary of the family: Transfer RNA (tRNA) molecules are approximately 80 nucleotides in length. Their secondary structure includes four short double-helical elements and three loops (D, anti-codon, and T loops). Lineage: Bacteria; Pseudomonadati; Pseudomonadota; Gammaproteobacteria; Thiotrichales; Thiotrichaceae. The record is from RNAcentral.
GCUGGUGUAGCUCAGCAGGCAGAGCAGCUGAUUUGUAAUCAGCAGGUCGUCGGUUCGAAUCCGACCGUCAGCUUCA